GUGGGGAAUCUUAGACAAUGGGGGCAACCCUGAUCUAGCCAUGCCGCGUGAUCGAUGAAGGCCUUAGGGUUGUAAAGAUCUUUCAGUUGGGAAGAUAAUGACGGUACCAACAGAAGAAGCCCCGGCUAACUCCGUGCCAGCAGCCGCGGUAAUACGGAGGGGGCUAGCGUUAUUCGGAAUUACUGGGCGUAAAGCGCACGUAGGCGGAUCAGAAAGUCAGAGGUGAAAUCCCAGGGCUCAACCUUGGAACUGCCUUUGAAACUUCUGGUCUUGAGGUCGAGAGAGGUGAGUGGAAUUCCGAGUGUAGAGGUGAAAUUCGUAGAUAUUCGGAGGAACACCAGUGGCGAAGGCGGCUCACUGGCUCGAUACUGACGCUGAGGUGCGAAAGCGUGGGGAGCAAACAGGAUUAGAUACCCGAGUAGUCC
Molecule: ribosomal RNA, 425 nt
Filed under: uncultured bacterium
Lineage: Bacteria
Description: bacterial SSU rRNA
Rfam family: Bacterial small subunit ribosomal RNA
Source: RNAcentral